CAGCGCUCAGAGUAACAGGCACGGUGAUUGGAGGAGCGCUGAGGCGGCUGUUGUCUCGGCCACCGGGUGUCCGCAUUCCCGGUGCCGCCGAGGGCCGGGGAGGCACCGGCUGGAACGGGCACGGACCGGCAGGAACGGGCGGAUACAGAGCGCACACCGCCCCUGAGCGGGGUCGGGCAUGUCCCCGGUGCUUCUCAGCCGCUCAGGUACCCACCCGCCGUUCCCAGCGCUGCCUCACCUGGGCACGGCUGCGGCGUGAGGCGAUUUCCGGUGGCACCUCCGGGGCCUCACCUGAGGGCGUCACCUCAUCCCUCACCUCAUCCCUCACUUGGGCUCCUCCCGCCCCGAGCGCCGAGUUCUCGCAAUGGAGACAGCAAAGGCCAUGGCUGAGCUCUGGAGCCUCGGCCCUCCUGCACUUUCAGAGCAGAAACAAAAUCCCGGCUGUGCCCUAAGUCGUGACACUGGACGAGUCUGUGACCGAUCCCCGCCUUUCCAGCUCAGGGAUGCUGUGGAGCACGAGGUCAUCCCAACAUGGAUUUCCUCACCAAGGGAAUAACAUCUUCCUUCCAGUCAAGGACUUCCCACCUAACAAGGAACAAGGAAUUUACUCCAGAUUUAUUCCAGAGGCUGCAGCCUCAGCCACACAAACCUACCAGGGAAGCAAAGAAAACUCCUUCUAGGUGAGUGCAGCCUGGAAGACACCCCAGUGCCAUGGAAUACAUGAAAAUCCAUCAUAGGAGGGUGAUCCCAGAGUGUCCCACUGUGUCCUGGUCCAGAGGGGAUGGCUGUUGUCCCCAGGAAGUGGCUGGGAGGUGGCAGUGCCUGGAAGGGCAGUGUGGGUUGGGAACAGCCUGGAGCAGUGGAUCAGGGGCCCUUUAUCAGCUGAUCUCCCAGACAUUUACAAACAGUAAUUAAACCUGCACCACCCUGGGAUGUGGGGGCCACUUCUUAUCCAUGGAGCAAGAAGCCAAAGCACACCUGACCUGGAAAGAUUCCUCAUAUCCCGAGCAGAGGCUUUAGGCUGGGCUGGUUUUGUGCCUGAACUCUCCCCAGAGGAACACUGAGGAUGAAGAGCCAAAUGUGGGGACCCCGGGGCAGGAAUGGUGAGGGACACUCAUGUCUGCACAGCCCCCCAAGGUAACUGAGGGAUAAAAGCUGGCCAUUUCCCCAGCCCCUGCUGGAGAGAGGCUUGUAAAAGUGCUCCCUGGAAGCCGGAACUGCCAUUCCCAGGUAUUCCAUCCUGCCACCACUUCAGAGGGAUGAAAAGGCAUGAACACAAACUCCCUUCUCCCAAGCCCUCCCACCCCUUGGGAUCCUCAUGGGAAGAUAAAUAAUUCUAUCAGCAGAUCAUUCAAAAACAUUUACUGUCACCAUGAAGUGACGUUGCAGGCCUGAGAUUAAGAUCAUCAAUAAAUUCCUGACCCUGGAAAAGAAUGAGCCCAUGAGAAAGCCCAGGGCUCUCCUUACUCAACAGGGAAAUCUUUACUACAUCUCUCAGCAGCUGGAUCUUCUAUCAGGGCUUUGGGGAAAAGGAAGCUGGAAGGGAAGCAAUGCCAGGAGGGAUUUGAUAAGGACAGAGGGCUGGAGGAAAGGGCAAAUUAAAUGAGAGGAGGGAAGAUCCCCAGCCUGUUAUCAGAAAACACACAAACACUCCACACCCAGCUGCGCUGCUGUCCCAGACAGUGGGAGAGCAGGAGGGACUCCCAGCUGGGGUCCUUGGGCAUCCCUGUCCUGUUCCAGCACUGCCUGGAGAGGGGAGCAGCCAGCUCUCUGCAAGGCUGGACCAUGGAAAAUCCAUACAUUUUACAAUAACCAUCACAGGCUGUCCAUAGCACUCCUUUCCCAAAGCUCUUCAUUUCCCAAAGAUUUAGGCUUAGAAGGAUUAAGCAUCACCCUGAGGGCCACACAGCAGCUCUGGAGUCCUCACUUAGCAGCUCCUUGUCCAGCUUGGCUGGUUCAUAUUUUACAGUAUUAUUUUUAAAGGUAAGGUUG
This is a non-coding RNA of Taeniopygia guttata (zebra finch), 1992 nucleotides long. The record is from RefSeq and is a predicted model, not a curated record. Lineage: Eukaryota; Metazoa; Chordata; Aves; Passeriformes; Estrildidae.